This 761-nucleotide ribosomal RNA is filed under the name Prevotella melaninogenica. Its description in RNAcentral is "bacterial SSU rRNA". It matches the Rfam family "Bacterial small subunit ribosomal RNA", at positions 28 to 776 of the family's 1533-position model. Lineage: Bacteria; Pseudomonadati; Bacteroidota; Bacteroidia; Bacteroidales; Prevotellaceae. The record is from RNAcentral.
GAUGAACGCUAGCUACAGGCUUAACACAUGCAAGUCGAGGGGAAACGGCAUUGAGUGCUUGCACUCUUUGGACGUCGACCGGCGCACGGGUGAGUAACGCGUAUCCAACCUUCCCAUUACUGUGGGAUAACCUGCCGAAAGGCAGACUAAUACCGCAUAGUCUUCGAUGACGGCAUCAGAUUUGAAGUAAAGAUUUAUCGGUAAUGGAUGGGGAUGCGUCUGAUUAGCUUGUUGGCGGGGUAACGGCCCACCAAGGCAACGAUCAGUAGGGGUUCUGAGAGGAAGGUCCCCCACAUUGGAACUGAGACACGGUCCAAACUCCUACGGGAGGCAGCAGUGAGGAAUAUUGGUCAAUGGACGGAAGUCUGAACCAGCCAAGUAGCGUGCAGGAUGACGGCCCUAUGGGUUGUAAACUGCUUUUGUAUGGGGAUAAAGUUAGGGACGUGUUCCUAUUUGCAGGUACCAUACGAAUAAGGACCGGCUAAUUCCGUGCCAGCAGCCGCGGUAAUACGGAAGGUCCAGGCGUUAUCCGGAUUUAUUGGGUUUAAAGGGAGCGUAGGCUGGAGAUUAAGUGUGUUGUGAAAUGUAGACGCUCAACGUCUGAAUUGCAGCGCAUACUGGUUUCCUUGAGUACGCACAACGUUGGCGGAAUUCGUCGUGUAGCGGUGAAAUGCUUAGAUAUGACGAAGAACUCCGAUUGCGAAGGCAGCUGACGGGAGCGCAACUGACGCUUAAGCUCGAAGGUGCGGGUAUCAAACAGG